GUGGGGAAUCUUAGACAAUGGGGGAAACCCUGAUCUAGCCAUGCCGCGUGAGCGAUGAAGGCCUUAGGGUUGUAAAGCUCUUUCAGCUGGGAAGAUAAUGACUGUACCAGCAGAAGAAGCCCCGGCUAACUCCGUGCCAGCAGCCGCGGUAAUACGGAGGGGGCUAGCGUUGUUCGGAAUUACUGGGCGUAAAGCGCACGUAGGCGGACCGGAAAGUCAGAGGUGAAAUCCCAGGGCUCAACCUUGGAACUGCCUUUGAAACUCCUGGUCUUGAGGUCGAGAGAGGUGAGUGGAAUUCCGAGUGUAGAGGUGAAAUUCGUAGAUAUUCGGAGGAACACCAGUGGCGAAGGCGACUACCUGGACUGAUACUGACACUGAGGUGCGAAAGCGUGGGGAGCAAACAGGAUUAGAAACCCCGGUAGUCC
RNAcentral lists this ribosomal RNA (425 nucleotides) under uncultured bacterium. RNAcentral's name for it is "bacterial SSU rRNA". It matches the Rfam family "Bacterial small subunit ribosomal RNA", at positions 354 to 796 of the family's 1533-position model. The record is from RNAcentral.